RNAcentral lists this ribosomal RNA (2906 nucleotides) under Citrobacter freundii. RNAcentral describes it as "23S ribosomal RNA". It matches the Rfam family "Bacterial large subunit ribosomal RNA". The record is from RNAcentral. Lineage: Bacteria; Pseudomonadati; Pseudomonadota; Gammaproteobacteria; Enterobacterales; Enterobacteriaceae.
GGUUAAGCGACUAAGCGUACACGGUGGAUGCCCUGGCAGUCAGAGGCGAUGAAGGACGUGCUAAUCUGCGAUAAGCGUCGGUAAGGUGAUAUGAACCGUUAUAACCGGCGAUUUCCGAAUGGGGAAACCCAGUGUGAUUCGUCACACUAUCAUUACGUGAAUACAUAGCGUAAUGAAGCGAACCGGGGGAACUGAAACAUCUAAGUACCCCGAGGAAAAGAAAUCAACCGAGAUUCCCCCAGUAGCGGCGAGCGAACGGGGAGCAGCCCAGAGUCUGAAUCAGCUUGUGUGUUAGUGGAACGGUCUGGAAAGUCCGACGGUACAGGGUGAUAGUCCCGUACACCAAAAUGCACAGGUUGUGAACUCGAAGAGUAGGGCGGGACACGUGGUAUCCUGUCUGAAUAUGGGGGGACCAUCCUCCAAGGCUAAAUACUCCUGACUGACCGAUAGUGAACCAGUACCGUGAGGGAAAGGCGAAAAGAACCCCGGCGAGGGGAGUGAAAAAGAACCUGAAACCGUGUACGUACAAGCAGUGGGAGCCUCUUUAUGGGGUGACUGCGUACCUUUUGUAUAAUGGGUCAGCGACUUAUAUUCUGUAGCAAGGUUAACCGUAUAGGGGAGCCGAAGGGAAACCGAGUCUUAACUGGGCGUUAAGUUGCAGGGUAUAGACCCGAAACCCGGUGAUCUAGCCAUGGGCAGGUUGAAGGUUGGGUAACACUAACUGGAGGACCGAACCGACUAAUGUUGAAAAAUUAGCGGAUGACUUGUGGCUGGGGGUGAAAGGCCAAUCAAACCGGGAGAUAGCUGGUUCUCCCCGAAAGCUAUUUAGGUAGCGCCUCGUGAACUCAUCUUCGGGGGUAGAGCACUGUUUCGGCUAGGGGGUCAUCCCGACUUACCAACCCGAUGCAAACUGCGAAUACCGAAGAAUGUUAUCACGGGAGACACACGGCGGGUGCUAACGUCCGUCGUGAAGAGGGAAACAACCCAGACCGCCAGCUAAGGUCCCAAAGUCAUGGUUAAGUGGGAAACGAUGUGGGAAGGCACAGACAGCCAGGAUGUUGGCUUAGAAGCAGCCAUCAUUUAAAGAAAGCGUAAUAGCUCACUGGUCGAGUCGGCCUGCGCGGAAGAUGUAACGGGGCUAAACCAUGCACCGAAGCUGCGGCAGCGACACUAUGUGUUGUUGGGUAGGGGAGCGUUCUGUAAGCCGUUGAAGGUGGCCUGUGAGGGUUGCUGGAGGUAUCAGAAGUGCGAAUGCUGACAUAAGUAACGAUAAUGCGGGUGAAAAACCCGCACGCCGGAAGACCAAGGGUUCCUGUCCAACGUUAAUCGGGGCAGGGUGAGUCGACCCCUAAGGCGAGGCCGAAAGGCGUAGUCGAUGGGAAACAGGUUAAUAUUCCUGUACUUGGUGUUACUGCGAAGGGGGGACGGAGAAGGCUAUGUUAGCCGGGCGACGGUUGUCCCGGUUUAAGCAUGUAGGCGGAGGUUCCAGGUAAAUCCGGUACCUUUUAACGCUGAGGUGUGAUGACGAGGCACUACGGUGCUGAAGUAACAAAUGCCCUGCUUCCAGGAAAAGCCUCUAAGCAUCAGGUAACACGAAAUCGUACCCCAAACCGACACAGGUGGUCAGGUAGAGAAUACCAAGGCGCUUGAGAGAACUCGGGUGAAGGAACUAGGCAAAAUGGUGCCGUAACUUCGGGAGAAGGCACGCUGAUAUGUAGGUGAAGCGGUUUACCCGUGGAGCUGAAAUCAGUCGAAGAUACCAGCUGGCUGCAACUGUUUAUUAAAAACACAGCACUGUGCAAACACGAAAGUGGACGUAUACGGUGUGACGCCUGCCCGGUGCCGGAAGGUUAAUUGAUGGGGUUAUCCGUAAGGAGAAGCUCUUGAUCGAAGCCCCGGUAAACGGCGGCCGUAACUAUAACGGUCCUAAGGUAGCGAAAUUCCUUGUCGGGUAAGUUCCGACCUGCACGAAUGGCGUAAUGAUGGCCAGGCUGUCUCCACCCGAGACUCAGUGAAAUUGAACUCGCUGUGAAGAUGCAGUGUACCCGCGGCAAGACGGAAAGACCCCGUGAACCUUUACUAUAGCUUGACACUGAACACUGGUCCUUGAUGUGUAGGAUAGGUGGGAGGCUUUGAAGUGUGGACGCCAGUCUGCAUGGAGCCAUCCUUGAAAUACCACCCUUUAAUGGCUGGUGUUCUAACGUGGACCCGUUACCCGGGUUGCGGACAGUGUCUGGUGGGUAGUUUGACUGGGGCGGUCUCCUCCUAAAGAGUAACGGAGGAGCACGAAGGUUAGCUAAUCCUGGUCGGACAUCAGGAGGUUAGUGCAAAGGCAUAAGCUAGCUUGACUGCGAGAGUGACGGCUCGAGCAGGUGCGAAAGCAGGUCUUAGUGAUCCGGUGGUUCUGAAUGGAAGGGCCAUCGCUCAACGGAUAAAAGGUACUCCGGGGAUAACAGGCUGAUACCGCCCAAGAGUUCAUAUCGACGGCGGUGUUUGGCACCUCGAUGUCGGCUCAUCACAUCCUGGGGCUGAAGUAGGUCCCAAGGGUAUGGCUGUUCGCCAUUUAAAGUGGUACGCGAGCUGGGUUUAGAACGUCGUGAGACAGUUCGGUCCCUAUCUGCCGUGGGCGCUGGAGAAUUGAGGGGGGCUGCUCCUAGUACGAGAGGACCGGAGUGGACGCAUCACUGGUGUUCGGGUUGUCAUGCCAAUGGCAUUGCCCGGUAGCUAAAUGCGGAAGAGAUAAGUGCUGAAAGCAUCUAAGCACGAAACUUGCCCCGAGAUGAGUUCUCCCUGAGACUUUAAGUCUCCUGAAGGAACGUUGAAGACGACGACGUUGAUAGGUCGGGUGUGUAAGUGUAGCGAUACAUUGAGCUAACCGAUACUAAUGAACCGUGAGGCUUAACCUU